RNAcentral lists this ribosomal RNA (1326 nucleotides) under Heyndrickxia coagulans. RNAcentral describes it as "bacterial SSU rRNA". It matches the Rfam family "Bacterial small subunit ribosomal RNA", at positions 56 to 1360 of the family's 1533-position model. The record is from RNAcentral. Lineage: Bacteria; Bacillati; Bacillota; Bacilli; Caryophanales; Bacillaceae.
UGCAAGUCGUGCGGACCUUUUAAAAGCUUGCUUUUAAAAGGUUAGCGGCGGACGGGUGAGUAACACGUGGGCAACCUGCCUGUAAGACUGGGAUAACGCCGGGAAACCGGGGCUAAUACCGGAUAGUUUUUUCCUCCGCAUGGAGGAAAAAGGAAAGGCGGCUUCGGCUGCCACUUACAGAUGGGCCCGCGGCGCAUUAGCUAGUUGGCGGGGUAACGGCCCACCAAGGCAACGAUGCGUAGCCGACCUGAGAGGGUGAUCGGCCACAUUGGGACUGAGACACGGCCCAAACUCCUACGGGAGGCAGCAGUAGGGAAUCUUCCGCAAUGGACGAAAGUCUGACGGAGCAACGCCGCGUGAGUGAAGAAGGCCUUCGGGUCGUAAAACUCUGUUGCCGGGGAAGAACAAGUGCCGUUCGAACAGGGCGGCGCCUUGACGGUACCCGGCCAGAAAGCCACGGCUAACUACGUGCCAGCAGCCGCGGUAAUACGUAGGUGGCAAGCGUUGUCCGGGAAUUAUUGGGCGUAAAGCGCGCGCAGGCGGCUUCUUAAGUCUGAUGUGAAAUCUUGCGGCUCAACCGCAAGCGGUCAUUGGAAACUGGGAGGCUUGAGUGCAGAAGAGGAGAGUGGAAUUCCACGUGUAGCGGUGAAAUGCGUAGAGAUGUGGAGGAACACCAGUGGCGAAGGCGGCUCUCUGGUCUGUAACUGACGCUGAGGCGCGAAAGCGUGGGGAGCAAACAGGAUUAGAUACCCUGGUAGUCCACGCCGUAAACGAUGAGUGCUAAGUGUUAGAGGGUUUCCACCCUUUAGUGCUGCAGCUAACGCAUUAAGCACUCCGCCUGGGGAGUACGGCCGCAAGGCUGAAACUCAAAGGAAUUGACGGGGGCCCGCACAAGCGGUGGAGCAUGUGGUUUAAUUCGAAGCAACGCGAAGAACCUUACCAGGUCUUGACAUCCUCUGACCUCCCUGGAGACAGGGCCUUCCCCUUCGGGGGACAGAGUGACAGGUGGUGCAUGGUUGUCGUCAGCUCGUGUCGUGAGAUGUUGGGUUAAGUCCCGCAACGAGCGCAACCCUUGACCUUAGUUGCCAGCAUUCAGUUGGGCACUCUAAGGUGACUGCCGGUGACAAACCGGAGGAAGGUGGGGAUGACGUCAAAUCAUCAUGCCCCUUAUGACCUGGGCUACACACGUGCUACAAUGGAUGGUACAAAGGGCUGCGAGACCGCGAGGUUAAGCCAAUCCCAGAAAACCAUUCCCAGUUCGGAUUGCAGGCUGCAACCCGCCUGCAUGAAGCCGGAAUCGCUAGUAAUCGCGGAUCAGCAUGCCGC